Long non-coding RNA from Emys orbicularis (European pond turtle), 2367 nucleotides. RefSeq lists it as uncharacterized. The transcript has 4 exons. The record is from RefSeq and is a predicted model, not a curated record. Lineage: Eukaryota; Metazoa; Chordata; Testudines; Emydidae.
UCACUUGCGAAACAGUCGGAACACAACCCAGAAGUCCUUGGUCAGUUCAGUCUUUGUAAAUGUGGGCUCCAAUUCAUCAAACGUUUAUGCACAUGCUUACCUUUACUUGUAUAUGUAGUCCCAUUGUAGUCCCAUGAAGUAUCACUAGAGGAGGUUUUGGAAUUAAUUGAUAAACUCAACAUUAACAAGUCACCGGGACCAGAUGGCAUUCACCCAAGAGUUUUGAAAGAACUCAAAUGUGAAGUUGCGGAACUAUUAACUAAGGUCAUGACAAGCUGCAGGCUGUACUUGGCGGAGACCCCACCGCUACCGUGCACGCUACUGUGGAUGUCUCCGAGGAGCCUAAGCCACGGGCCCCUGCCAUGAACGGGAAGGAGGACAAGCAGAGAGAGGUGACAUGCAGGGGAGUCCACCUACACCAGGAGCCAGGACCUGCCUGAGACUCCUGCAUGGUCUAGCUAGUCCUGGCAGCUGAGCAUGGACUAGCCUGUUGAAGGGGAAGGGACCUCAGGAGCUGUUGCUGUUAUGGGGCCCUCCACACCCACAGAACACUUGACCCUGAUGAGGAGAAAGAAGAGGAUUAGGGAGGACAUACUGAAUGAGGUCCUGCAAGCUGGUGCUGCAUCGGACCAUGAACAAAGGGCCUGGAGGGCUGAUGGUAUGGAGAGGGGAAAAGUGGACAGAAGAAAUGCCAGCAGGGAGAGGGGGAGAUACACCAAUACUUAAUAGGAGCAAAUUUAAAUGCUGCAGACCCUGGUUGACCAACAGGUCCAAAUAUCCCAGACUCACCUUUGCAGACCUUGGAGAACUCCAUGGCAGCAGCUCCCUAUACCCCCCAACAUACCACGUGGCAUCCUGGGCUACAUCCCUAUCCUUACCACUCCACAGGGGGACACAGCAAGGAAAACCACAGCUUCUCACAUACACUGCCCCAUGAGAACCACGGCAGGUGUAUGUGUAGCCACAACGGACUACAUUUGUACACUCAGAUGGGCAAAAAUGUCAAGCCUAGUGGUUAGAGCAGGAGUUGGUAGCCAGGAAUAGGAGCCCAGGGUCAGAGAUGCAGUCACAGGCCAGAUGCCAGAGCUGAAGUCAUAAGUUAGGAAUUGGAGCCAAGGGUCAGAACUGAGUUACCCGGAGUGAGGCAAGACAGGGGCAAGGCUGGGCACAAGGCAGGAGCUAUCUCAGCCAUGGGCGAAUGAUUUGAGGAGCUGCCAAAAUACUGCUGCUGCUGGUCUUAAGGCUUGAUCCGGUGACUCUUCCCACCAAUCAGGCAGUGUGGCCACUGGGCAGCCUACUGCAUGCCAGCUGCAUUUGUUACGUUGCCCGGAGACUGGUUCUGCUGCAGACCCUGAUUCCUGACAACACCAGUGAUAUGAGUUAACCAAAGUUUGUAGUGUAGACAUGGCCUUAGUCUUUUAAGUUGCUGUAAUUCUGUAGCUGAACAACACCCUUCUUUUCUCAGUGCUAGUCUUUCAUUCUGUUUGGCUGCAGACUGGACAUGAUGGCAAUGUAUCUGUUUGGUUUUUUUUAAAGCUGUCUUUGCAAAACAAAGGGCUAUAUACACUGUCAUCCUCCCCCCCUUUCCCUGUUCCCGACUCUGUAAGAAAGCUCAGAUUCUGAAGAAAUCUAUGAAAAAUCAGCAAAAAUCUAUGAAAGACCUCAAAUUUGCAAUUUCCAUGGCACGGAUGUGUAUUGUCUGUAGUGAUGAUGGUCAUAAAAGCCAGGGCUCUGAAAUAAAAGUGAUAAUUUCUGUCUCAGUUGUUACCUUUUCUUGUUAGUGUUCUGCAACAUGAUUAUGGUGAAUGGUGUUGUUUCAAAUAAAAAUUAUCGACUGCUACUGGCUGACUUGUAAAAGACAAAGGCUUGACUAUUGGCUAGUACAUAAUUCCUCAUUUGCUAACUAGCUUUUGUGAUAUUAACAUUAUUUUGUGACAUUCUGAUGGAAGCCUGAAGGGGGAAAUGUUAUAAUUCUUUCACAAUUCAUUAGUUUGUAGGUGUCUCUGUUAUGAUGUUUAUACAAUGAAUGACUCAUAAGCUAAAUGAAUAUGCCAGCCUAAUAGUGCAGCCUAUAGUGAAACCUGAUGCCAUUACAUAAAAGCAUGGCAGUUGUUCAUACUUGUGCUAUUACUUGAUGAAGUACUUGCACACUGGAAAUGUGCGUGCCGUAGGUUACUUAAAUGUUCUCUGUUUUUAUAAGAUUUUUCUGAAAUAUGUAGUGUUUUACAAUAAUGGAUUGGCCUCCUUUUCUCCACUCUUUAUUGUACUAUACCCCUUAUUGUUCGGUUUAAGUUCUACAGCUCUUUUGAGUGCAUAAUUUGGAACUGAGGCCUGGUCUGCACUCAGGUUUGGCUCCAGGUUUUCUGC